UGGGGAGAGACCCUGCGGAGAAGGAGGACUGAUGGCAGAGGGCAGGACUGGAGAUGGUUUUGAUGAUAGUUAUUUUAAUCUAACCGUGCCCCGGACUCUUCACUUCCCAUAGAUGAUCCUUCCCUGCAAGCGCCUGCUGAUGUUCCACCCUCUGUUUCUCUGCCUCUUCCCCACCCCACCUGCCGUUGCAGAGUCACCGCCACGAGGACAGGACCAUGUACCUCUUGUUGACAACGCUCCACAGAUAAUCAGAGUGGGGCCAUGUGCUUUCCAAAGCUAUCCCAACAAAGCCCUUGCAGCUCUGCUUCAGUGUCCUGGAACACCUGCUUCCAGAGAUGGAAGAUGUCCUUCUACCUUGAGGCCAACCUGUUGGAGAGGCCACACGUGCCCUGAUCGAUGCUGCUAGCACAGCCCAGCCUUCCAGCCAUCCCUGUUGACUUGUGAAUGACAUCACUUGGGCGCUCAGGAACAGCCCUUCCGAUAGCUGAAUACCUCCAAGGAAACUCUGUCCAUGCCAAGUGGAUGAGCCUUGCUGCCUUCUGGGCCGACAAAAUUGCACGAUAAAAUUAAAUGGUUGUUGUAAGCUGGUAAAUUUUGUGAUUAUUUGUUACACAACAGUAGAUCAUUUGAGCCCUGCUUUCUAUGUGCAUCAAAUCUAGAAGUUGCUUUUUCUUUUUAAUUUUUAACUCCAAUGGCCACAAAAACACAAUUAGUAUCUCCCAUAAAACAAGAAACAUAUUAAUUCCAAGAACUU
Non-coding RNA from Vicugna pacos (alpaca), 754 nucleotides. Lineage: Eukaryota; Metazoa; Chordata; Mammalia; Artiodactyla; Camelidae. The record is from RefSeq and is a predicted model, not a curated record.